UUGCUUUGGCAGCACAUAUACUAAAAUUGGAACCAUACAGAGAAGAUUAACAUGGCCCUUGUUCAAGGAAGACACACAAAUUCGUGAAGCGUUCCAUGUUUUU
RNAcentral lists this small nuclear RNA (103 nucleotides) under Physeter macrocephalus (sperm whale). Lineage: Eukaryota; Metazoa; Chordata; Mammalia; Artiodactyla; Physeteridae. The record is from RNAcentral.